RNAcentral lists this long non-coding RNA (329 nucleotides) under Trifolium pratense (red clover). RNAcentral describes it as "long non-coding RNA (TPRA_LNC007505)". The record is from RNAcentral. Lineage: Eukaryota; Viridiplantae; Streptophyta; Magnoliopsida; Fabales; Fabaceae.
GUCGAGUUCUUUUGAGGUAGAGGAGACUGAUGUAGGAGGAUUUCUUGUGUAUAUUGUUAUUUUAAUUAGAUUUAGUUUUAUUAUAUUUUAGGUAGAUUUCUUAUUUUUAUUUAGUUAGGUUUGUUAUUUUCUUUUACAAUCUUUUAUGAGAUUUGUUAUUUUUAUUUUCCACUCCUAUUUAAACUAAAUUAUUGUAGCCUUGAAGGCAACUUUUUUGAUUCAAUAAAAAUUCAGAGAUUUUUCUCAAAUUUGGUGGAUUCCAAAUUACUCUUUCGGUGGACUCCGAAACCCUAUUUUGACAAGUUUGUGUUUGCGGCUUGUCUUUAUCC